This 464-nucleotide ribosomal RNA is filed under the name Vreelandella stevensii. RNAcentral describes it as "partial 16S ribosomal RNA". It matches the Rfam family "Bacterial small subunit ribosomal RNA", at positions 338 to 795 of the family's 1533-position model. Lineage: Bacteria; Pseudomonadati; Pseudomonadota; Gammaproteobacteria; Oceanospirillales; Halomonadaceae. The record is from RNAcentral.
CCUACGAGUGGCUGCAGUGGGGAAUAUUGGACAAUGGGCGAAAGCCUGAUCCAGCCAUGCCGCGUGGGUGAAGAAGGCCUUCGGGUUGUAAAGCACUUUCAGUGGGGAAGCAAGCCUUUGGGCUAAUACCCUCGAGGAAGGACAUCACCCACAGAAUAAGCACCGGCUAACUCCGUGCCAGCAGCCGCGGUAAUACGAUGGUGCGAGCGUUAAUCGGAAUUACUGGGCGUAAAGCGCGCGUAGGCGGUCUGAUAAGCCGGUUGUUAAAGCCCCGGGCUCAACCUGGGAACGGCAUCCGGAACUGUCAGGCUAGAGUGCAGGAGAGGAAGGGAGAAUUCCCGGUGUAGAGGUGAAAUGCGUAGAGAUCGGGAGGAAUACCAGUGGCGAAGGCGGCCUUCUGGACUGACACUGACGCUGAGGUGCGAAAGCGUGGGUAGCAAACAGGAUUAGAUACCCUUGUAGUC